AAUACGGAGAAACCAGGGACAUGGCAACAUCCUUAUCGCCCUACCUUCUUUCCAAACACUCAGCCUGGUAGAGGGCUUGGUACAUCAUUCUAUAGAGGACCGCCUUUUGAGAGGCAGUUUAGGCCAGUAGAGAAUGGAAGAACAUUCAGGCCGCAACCUCGCCGGCCAAAUGUAUGGCAUUCAUUCCAGUACAAUGCAGAAAGGGCAAUACCCUUCGAUGAGAUGACUAGGACACAACAAAGACGUUUCCAACGAAACUACGGACGGAUGAUGAGGCAGCAACAGGGAGUGCCACAUCCUAAAACACCUAAAUUACUCAAGGUAGCCAAUCAAAACGUCCUCAAAGGUAGUAAAGAGACUGG
RNAcentral lists this long non-coding RNA (362 nucleotides) under Olea europaea (common olive). Its description in RNAcentral is "long non-coding RNA (OEUR_LNC000425)". The record is from RNAcentral. Lineage: Eukaryota; Viridiplantae; Streptophyta; Magnoliopsida; Lamiales; Oleaceae.